Nycticebus coucang (slow loris) is the source of this 111-nucleotide small nuclear RNA. RefSeq annotates it as U5 spliceosomal RNA. Lineage: Eukaryota; Metazoa; Chordata; Mammalia; Primates; Lorisidae. The transcript has a single exon. The record is from RefSeq and is a predicted model, not a curated record.
CAACUCUGGUUUCUCUUCAGAUCACUUAAAUCUUUCGCCUUUUACUGAAGAUUUCUGUGGAGAGGAACAAUUCUUGUUGUAAACAUUUGCCACCUGGAAGAAAGACUCGGA